This 396-nucleotide ribosomal RNA is filed under the name uncultured bacterium. RNAcentral describes it as "partial 16S ribosomal RNA". It matches the Rfam family "Bacterial small subunit ribosomal RNA", at positions 338 to 732 of the family's 1533-position model. The record is from RNAcentral.
CCUACGGGUGGCAGCAGUGAGGAAUAUUGGUCAAUGGGCGCGAGCCUGAACCAGCCAAGUCGCGUGAGGGAAGACGGUCCUAUGGGUUGUAAACCUCUUUUAUAUGGGAGCAAAAUACGCUACGCGUAGCGUUCCGUGAGUACCCGAUGAAAAAGCAUCGGCUAACUCCGUGCCAGCAGCCGCGGUAAUACGGAGGAUGCGAGCGUUAUCCGGAUUUAUUGGGUUUAAAGGGUGCGCAGGCGGACGAUAAAGUCAGUGGUAAAAUUGAGAGGCUCAACCUCAUAGAGCAGUUGACACUGGUUGUCUUGAGUGAAGGAGAAGUAUGCGGAAUGCGUGGUGUAGCGGUGAAAUGCUUAGAUAUCACGCAGAACUCCGAUUGCGAAGGCAGCUUACUGG